This 437-nucleotide ribosomal RNA is filed under the name uncultured bacterium. RNAcentral's name for it is "bacterial SSU rRNA". It matches the Rfam family "Bacterial small subunit ribosomal RNA", at positions 954 to 1392 of the family's 1533-position model. The record is from RNAcentral.
GCAAAACGCGAAGAACCUUACCUAGGCUUGACAUGCAUCUCUAAGCGCGUGAAAGCGCGUGACCCUUCGGGGGAUUUGCACAGGUGCUGCAUGGCCGUCGUCAGCUCGUGUCGUGAGAUGUUGGGUUAAGUCCCGCAACGAGCGCAACCCUUGUGAACAGUUGCCAGCACUUAAGGUGGGAACUCUGUUCAGACUGCCCAGAUCAACUGGGAGGAAGGUGGGGACGACGUCAGGUCAGUAUGGCCCUUACGCCUAGGGCUGCACACGUACUACAAUGCCCAGCACAAUGAGAAUCGAGACCGCGAGGUGGAGGAAAUCUAAAAAACUGGGCCCAGUUCGGAUUGGAGGCUGCAACUCGCCUCCAUGAAGUUGGAAUCGCUAGUAAUGGCACAUCAGCUACGGUGCCGUGAAUACGUUCCCGGGUCUUGUACACACCG